Molecule: ribosomal RNA, 409 nt
Filed under: uncultured bacterium
Lineage: Bacteria
Description: bacterial SSU rRNA
Rfam family: Bacterial small subunit ribosomal RNA
Source: RNAcentral
GGGGAAUAUUGCACAAUGGGCGCAAGCCUGAUGCAGCGACGCCGCGUGCGGGAUGACGGCCUUCGGGUUGUAAACCGCUUUUGACUGGGAGCAAGCCCUUCGGGGUGAGUGUACCUUUCGAAUAAGCACCGGCUAACUACGUGCCAGCAGCCGCGGUAAUACGUAGGGUGCAAGCGUUAUCCGGAAUUAUUGGGCGUAAAGGGCUCGUAGGCGGUUCGUCGCGUCCGGUGUGAAAGUCCACCGCUUAACGGUGGAUCCGCGCCGGGUACGGGCGGGCUUGAGUGCGGUAGGGGAGACUGGAAUUCCCGGUGUAACGGUGGAAUGUGUAGAUAUCGGGAAGAACACCAAUGGCGAAGGCAGGUCUCUGGGCCACUACUGACGCUGAGAAGCGAAAGCGUGGGGAGCGAAC